Non-coding RNA from Phascolarctos cinereus (koala), 485 nucleotides. The record is from the annotation of a RefSeq genome assembly. Lineage: Eukaryota; Metazoa; Chordata; Mammalia; Diprotodontia; Phascolarctidae.
UUGGCUGGACAGUUACUUUAAGCCCCCUGCUAUUUCAGGGAAUGGAAGAACUAGAAAUCAGAAGCAGUUCAUUUGACUGAAGAAACUUGACGGCACCUCAGGUACUAAAUUUGACUCCUCACUGAGCCUGGGCAGAAGGAAUAAUGGGACCUCUGGCAACUUCAUUACUGAUCUUGUGGCUUCAGCCUGGCUGGGUGAGUGGCCAAGUGGUGGAACAGAGUCCUGCAACCCUAAGCCUCAAGGUCGGAGAAAGCACCACUUUGAACUGCACUUACACGACCUCUAUAAAUAGCCUACAAUGGUACAGACACAAUCCUGGGACGGGUCCAACAGUCCUGUUUAUAAUGGUUUUAGACGGGGAUGAGAAACAGGAAGGAAGAUUAAAAGCCACGCUCAGCACUAAGGGACGUCACAGUUCCCUGAGCAUCUCAGCUGCCCAGACCAGAGACUCAGCCACCUACUUCUGUGCUGUGGAGGCACAGUGA